ACAGAGGGGGCAAGCGUUGUUCGGAAUUACUGGGCGUAAAGGGCGUGUAGGCGGCUUCGUAUGUCUGACGUGAAAGCCCCGGGCUUACCCCGGGAAGUGCGUUGGAAACUGCGGAGCUAGAGUCCCGGAGAGGGAGGUGGAAUUCCAGGUGUAGCGGUGAAAUGCGUAGAUAUCUGGAGGAACACCGGUGGCGAAGGCGGCAUCCUGGACCGACACUGACACUGAGGAGCGAAAGCCAGGGGAGCAAACGGGA
Molecule: ribosomal RNA, 253 nt
Filed under: uncultured prokaryote
Description: partial 16S ribosomal RNA
Rfam family: Bacterial small subunit ribosomal RNA
Source: RNAcentral